This 433-nucleotide ribosomal RNA is filed under the name uncultured bacterium. Its description in RNAcentral is "partial 16S ribosomal RNA". It matches the Rfam family "Bacterial small subunit ribosomal RNA", at positions 29 to 507 of the family's 1533-position model. The record is from RNAcentral.
AACGAACGCUGGCGGCAUGCCUAACACAUGCAAGUCGAACGAGACCUUCGGGUCUUGUGGCGCACGGGUGCGUAACGCGUGGGAACCUGACCUUAGGUUCGGAAUACCUCCCCGACAGGGGUGAUAAUAGCGGAUAAUGUCUUCGGACCAAAGAUUUAUCGCCUUUGUAUGGGCCCGCGUUGGAUUAGCUAGUUGGUAGGGUAAAAGCCUACCAAGGCGAGGAUCCAUAGCUGGUAUGUGAGACUGAUCAGCCACACCGGGACUGGGACGCGGCCCAGACUCUUACGCGAGGCAGCAGUGGGGAAUAUUGGACCAUGGGCGAAAGGCUGAUCCAGCUAGGCCGCGUGAGUUAUGAAGGCCUUAGGGUUGUAAAGCUCAUUUAACCAGGCUGAUAAUGACAGUACCUAGAGAAUAAGCCACGGCUAACUCCGUG